GUCAGGAUGGCCGAGCGGUCUAAGGCGCUGCGUUCAGGUCGCAGUCUCCUCUGGAGGCGUGGGAUCGAAUCCCACUUCUGACA
RNAcentral lists this transfer RNA (83 nucleotides) under Danio rerio (zebrafish). RNAcentral's name for it is "tRNA-Leu (CAG) (tRNA-Leu-CAG-30-1)". It matches the Rfam family "tRNA". Rfam says of the family: Transfer RNA (tRNA) molecules are approximately 80 nucleotides in length. Their secondary structure includes four short double-helical elements and three loops (D, anti-codon, and T loops). Further hydrogen bonds mediate the characteristic L-shaped molecular structure. tRNAs have two regions of fundamental functional importance: the anti-codon, which is responsible for specific mRNA codon recognition, and the 3' end, to which the tRNAs corresponding amino acid is attached (by aminoacyl-tRNA synthetases). tRNAs cope with the degeneracy of the genetic code in two manners: having more than one tRNA (with a specific anti-codon) for a particular amino acid; and 'wobble' base-pairing, i.e. permitting non-standard base-pairing at the 3rd anti-codon position. The record is from Rfam by way of RNAcentral. Lineage: Eukaryota; Metazoa; Chordata; Actinopteri; Cypriniformes; Danionidae.